This 497-nucleotide ribosomal RNA is filed under the name uncultured bacterium. Its description in RNAcentral is "partial 16S ribosomal RNA". It matches the Rfam family "Bacterial small subunit ribosomal RNA", at positions 28 to 507 of the family's 1533-position model. The record is from RNAcentral.
GAUGAACGCUGGCGGCGUGCCUAAUACAUGCAAGUCGAGCGAACAGACGAGGAGCUUGCUCCUCUGACGUUAGCGGCGGACGGGUGAGUAACACGUGGAUAACCUACCUAUAAGACUGGGAUAACUUCGGGAAACCGGAGCUAAUACCGGAUAACAUGUUGAACCGCAUGGUUCAACAGUGAAAGACGGUUUUGCUGUCACUUAUAGGUGGAUCCGCGCCGCAUUAGCUAGUUGGUAAGGUAACGGCUUACCAAGGCAACGAUGCGUAGCCGACCUGAGAGGGUGAUCGGCCACACUGGAACUGAGACACGGUCCAGACUCCUACGGGAGGCAGCAGUAGGGAAUCUUCCGCAAUGGGCGAAAGCCUGACGGAGCAACGCCGCGUGAGUGAAGAAGGUCUUCGGAUCGUAAAACUCUGUUAUUAGGGAAGAACAAAUGUGUAAGUAACUAUGCACGUCUUGACGGUACCUAAUCAGAAAGCCACGGCUAACUACGUG